Molecule: long non-coding RNA, 455 nt
Filed under: Hordeum vulgare
Lineage: Eukaryota; Viridiplantae; Streptophyta; Magnoliopsida; Poales; Poaceae
Description: long non-coding RNA (HVUL_LNC018655)
Source: RNAcentral
GGGGGGGGGGGGCUGUAGGCGCAAGGCGACCAGGGGCGAGGGCGGCCGGCGGAGUGCGGGCGACGUCUCUGUACGAGCGCGCCGAGGACUCGCUCUCCGAGCUCGACCAGCGGUCCCCGUAGGAGACACGCUCGACGGCGAGGGUCUCUCGGCGGUCGACAGGGUCAGCCCCCACGGGAGCCAUGACGCGGGAGGGGAGGGCCGCGGGGGAGGUCCGGCCGGCGGGGACGGGGACGGCGAUGGAGCGCGGAGCAGCCGUCAAGCUAGCGGGGCGCGGGGGCGGAGCGGGGAGCGGGGCGGUGCGGAGCGGAGAGCCAUCCGUCGCAUUCCCAUAUCCCUUAUGUCUGGCUUACUUGAGCCGGCCUCUUUCGAAAGCUUUGAUGGCAUUUUGAUUUGUUAAAAUCAACUAUUUGAAGAAUAUAUUCUGCCAUUUGAUGUAACUGCAAAGCUGUUUU